This 500-nucleotide ribosomal RNA is filed under the name uncultured bacterium. Its description in RNAcentral is "bacterial SSU rRNA". It matches the Rfam family "Bacterial small subunit ribosomal RNA", at positions 28 to 550 of the family's 1533-position model. The record is from RNAcentral.
GAUGAACGCUGGCGGCGUGCCUAAUACAUGCAAGUCGAACGGCACCGGGCAACCGGUGUAGUGGCGAACGGGUGAGUAACGCGUUGGUGACCUGCCCCGAAGUUUGGGAUACCAGUUCGAAAGGACUGCUAAUACCGGAUGUAGUUGUGUAGAUUAGAGGCUAUACAACGAAAGGUUUCGAUCGCUUCGGGAGGGGCCUGCGUCCCAUCAGCUAGUUGGUAAGGUAACGGCUUACCAAGGCGAUGACGGGUAGGGGACCUGAGAGGGUGGCCCCCCACAAUGGAACUGAAACACGGUCCAUACACCUACGGGUGGCAGCAGUAGGGAAUAUUGCAAAAUGGGCGAAAGCCUGAUGCAGCAACGCCGCGUGGGCGAUGAAGGCCUUCGGGUCGUAAAGCCCUUUUUGCGGGGAUGAGGAAGGACAGUACCCGCAGAAUAAGCCUCGGCUAACUACGUGCCAGCAGCCGCGGUAAAACGUAGGAGGCGAGCGUUAUCCGGAU